GUGUUCACUGGGAGGCUUGGAAUGCAUCCCCCACAGAUCUCGGCUGAAGGGGCAGCCCUAUUGGGGACAUGCAUUUUUCAUGGUGGAGGGAAAAACAUGAAGAAGAAUCAUGAAUUGUUCCUUAAAGCUUUUAUUCAGAAGCUGUACAAGUACUUCUGCUCACAUUUUAUUGAAGAACCCUGAUAUCAAAGGGAGAAAAAUAUAAUCUUCUUUUAGGGAGAGGCAGUAAAUAAAUAUCUAUUGACAAUGAUCCUCAAGAAUGGAAACAAUCCAAAUGUGUAUCAACUGGUGAAUGGAAAAACAUAUUGUGGUACAUCCAUACAAUAAAAUAAUAGGAAUAAAAAAAUCAGCGAACUACUAACGUUACAUGCAACAACAUGGAUGAAUAUCAAAGACAUUAUGCUAAGAAGCCAGAUUUGAAUGGUUACAUACCAUAUUAUUUCAUUUAUAAGACAUUCUGCAAAGGACAAAACUUAGAAAACAAAGUGGUGGUUGGUAGAGACUGGUGUUGGGAGGGGGCACUGACCACAAAUGCAAAUCAGGGAAUUUGGGAAGGAUGACAAGAAUAUUCUCUAUAUUAAGUGUGAUGGUGGUUACAUAGCUGUAUAUGUUUCUCAAACGUAUCUAUCCCUAAAAAAAAAAGGGUAUGUACAUAAAUCAUGCCUUAA
This is a long non-coding RNA of Felis catus (domestic cat), 668 nucleotides long. RefSeq lists it as uncharacterized. The record is from RefSeq and is a predicted model, not a curated record. Lineage: Eukaryota; Metazoa; Chordata; Mammalia; Carnivora; Felidae. The transcript has 2 exons.